This 476-nucleotide ribosomal RNA is filed under the name uncultured bacterium. RNAcentral's name for it is "bacterial SSU rRNA". It matches the Rfam family "Bacterial small subunit ribosomal RNA", at positions 29 to 506 of the family's 1533-position model. The record is from RNAcentral.
AUGAACGCUGGCGACGUGGAUAAGGCAUGCAAGUCAAGGGGGUCCCGAUAGCAAUAUCGCGGAUCACCGGCGAACGAGGUAGUAACACGUAGGUACGAACCCUAGAGUCUGGUAUAGCUCAUCGAAAGAUGGGGUAAUCCCAGAUAGUCUCCGAUCCCGCAAGGGCAUCGGAGUAAAGGAGCAAUUCGCUCUGGGAUCGGCCUGCGGGGUAUCAGCUAGUUGGUAAGGUAACGGCUUACCAAGGCUAUGACGCCUAGGGGAGGUGAGAGCCUGACCCCCACCGAUGGUACUGAGACACGGACCAUACACCUACGGGUGGCUGCAGUCGAGAAUCUUCCGCAAUGGGCGAAAGCCUGACGGAGCGACGUCGCGUGAUUGAUGAAGUUCCACUGGAAUGUAAAAAUCUUUUAUAGAGGAGAAACCCCGCCCUAGGCGGGGGUGAUAGUACUCUAUGAAUAAGGGGUUGCUAAACUCGU